This 564-nucleotide ribosomal RNA is filed under the name uncultured Ascochyta. RNAcentral's name for it is "eukaryotic LSU rRNA". The stretch from base 195 to 348 matches the Rfam family "5.8S ribosomal RNA". Lineage: Eukaryota; Fungi; Ascomycota; Dothideomycetes; Pleosporales; Didymellaceae. The record is from RNAcentral.
GGAAGUAAAAGUCGUAACAAGGUUGCCGUAGGUGAACCUGCGGAAGGAUCAUUACCUAGAGUUUGUGGGCUUUGCCCGCUACCUCUUACCCAUGUCUUUUGAGUACUUACGUUUCCUCGGCGGGUUCGCCCGCCGACUGGACAAAAUUAAACCCUUUGUAAUUGAAAUCAGCGUCUGAAAAACAUAAUAGUUACAACUUUCAACAACGGAUCUCUUGGUUCUGGCAUCGAUGAAGAACGCAGCGAAAUGCGAUAAGUAGUGUGAAUUGCAGAAUUCAGUGAAUCAUCGAAUCUUUGAACGCACAUUGCGCCCCUUGGUAUUCCAUGGGGCAUGCCUGUUCGAGCGUCAUUUGUACCUUCAAGCUAUGCUUGGUGUUGGGUGUUUGUCUCGCCUUUGCGUGUAGACUCGCCUCAAAACAAUUGGCAGCCGGCGUAUUGAUUUCGGAGCGCAGUACAUCUCGCGCUUUGCACUCAUAACGACGACGUCCAAAAGUACUUUUUACACUCUUGACCUCGGAUCAGGUAGGGAUACCCGCUGAACUUAAGCAUAUCAAUAAGCGGAGGA